AUGCCCACUGCCAUUCUUGCAACUCGGAGAAGUCCUGCGCUGCCCAAAUGUUCACUGUGGGGGUUGUCGUGCGUUGGUCCUGUGCUACCAGUACAGAGUCACUUACAAGAGGGUAGCACGCUGGAACUGAAAGUAGCAGAGGUGGAGGCACCAGUCUCAUUCAUAACUGUGCCUGGCUGUGUAACUAGUGUGAUACAGUGUGUAAAGCUGAAGCAAUUCCUUUCAUCAACGAUGAACCUAAAACGCUGGCCAUGCAACAGCAGCAACAAACCACCAGUUCUAAUUACAGAAUUACACGAUGCUCCCGGGGUUAAUCCUGCAUUCAGUAUCUUCAGACCCAUGUAUACAGAAAGCAUCAUCAAUGUUUUCCAUCCGCCACCAAAAUCCGAGAUGCUCCUGUGCUGGACCGCAACAGCAGCGGCUUUGCGUUGGGUGGCGUUGGUUUCCAUAGGUGCAGGCAAGACCCAGCGAGAGGUCUUGUGCCUGGACUUCAACACAGACUCACUCACUGCCCACGUCUUCAUCGUGCCCAGGCAGAUCCGGGUGGCAUCAGGCGGAAGAAAACUCUUUGCUGCUCUUACGCUUGACAACGUGUUAGUCCCAGCUUUCAGUGCAGAAGGUCCAGGUCACAGGAGGAGUGAGUACAGCGGGAAAGGGCCUGAAGAGUUUUACUGGGGCAUUGUUAGGGAUCCAAACAGACAGGAAAGUGGCUCACAUCUCUCCGUCCUCCCUCAUUGCUCAAAGACAUGUCCUAUAUGA
Molecule: long non-coding RNA, 759 nt
Filed under: Anas platyrhynchos platyrhynchos (common mallard)
Lineage: Eukaryota; Metazoa; Chordata; Aves; Anseriformes; Anatidae
Description: lncRNA (ENSAPLG00000024566.1)
Source: RNAcentral